RNAcentral lists this transfer RNA (71 nucleotides) under Loxodonta africana (African savanna elephant). It matches the Rfam family "tRNA". Rfam says of the family: Transfer RNA (tRNA) molecules are approximately 80 nucleotides in length. Their secondary structure includes four short double-helical elements and three loops (D, anti-codon, and T loops). Lineage: Eukaryota; Metazoa; Chordata; Mammalia; Proboscidea; Elephantidae. The record is from Rfam by way of RNAcentral.
GCAGGGGUGGUUCAGUGGUAGAAUUCUCUCCUUUUAUGUGGGAGAUCAGGGUUUGAUUCCUGGCCAGUGCU